GGAGAGUUCGAUCCUGGCUCAGGAUGAACGCUGGCGGUAUGCUUAACACAUGCAAGUCUUACUAUAAAUUUAGUGGCGAACGGGUGAGUGAUGCGUAAGAAUCUACCCCUAAGUACGGGGGAGAAAACAGUGGGAAACUAUUGCUAAUAUCCCAUAUAGGCUGAAAAGUUAAAAGAAUAAUAAUUCUCUACAGGGAAGAGCUUACGUCUGAUUAGCUAGUUGGUAAGAUAAUAGCUUACCAAGGCUGUGAUCGGGAGCUAGUUCGAGAGGAUGAUUAGCCACAUUGGAACUGAGACAAGGUCCAGACUUCUAUGGGAGGCAGCAGUGGGGAAUUUUCCGCAAUGAGCGAAAGCUUGACGGGGCAAUACCGCGUGAAGGUAGAAGGCCUACGGGUCGUAAACUUCUUUUACCAAAAAAGAAAACUAACAGUAUUUGGGGAAUAAGUAUCGGCUAACUUUGUGCCAGCAGCCGCGGUAAUACAAAGGAUGCAAGCGUUAUCCGGAAUGAUUGGGCGUAAAGAGUCUGUAGGUAACUUUUUAAGUCUGACGUCAAAUACCUAGGCUCAACCGAGGAAAGGCAUCAGAAACUAAAAAGCUUGAGUAUAUUAAAGGAAGAGGGAAUUUCUGAAGGAGCGAUGAAAUGCAUAGAUAUCAGAAAGAACGCCGAAGGUGAAAACGCUCUUCUGUAUUGAUACUGACAUUGAGAGACGAAAGCUAGGGUAGCAAAUGGGAUUAGAGACCCCAGUAGUCCUAGCUGUAAACGAUGGAUAUUAAGUAUUGUGUGUAUUGAUCCAUUCAGUACUACAACUAACGUGUUAAAUAUCCCGCCUGGGGAGUACGUUCGCAAGAAUGAAACUCAAAGGAAUUGACGGGGGUCUGCACAAGCGGUGGAGCAUGUGGUUUAAUUCGAUGCAAAGCGAAGAACCUUACCAGGGCUUGACAUGAUCGUGAAUCUUUUUGAAAAUUAAGAGUGCCUUAGGGAACGCGAACACAGGUGGUGCAUGGCUGUCGUCAGCUCGUGCCGUCAGGUGUUGAGUUAAGUCCCGCAACGAGCGCAACCCUUAUGUUUAGUUACCUUUUUGGAACUCUAAACAGACUGCUAGAAAUAAUCUGGAGGAAGGAGAGGAUUACGUCAAGUCAUCAUGCCCCUUAUGCCCUGGGCAACACACGUGCUACAAUGGUCGAGACAAAGAAUAAUUCGUGAACUUGCAAGAGUAAACUAAUUUCAAAAACUCGAUCACAGUUCGAAUUGCAGGCUGAAACUCGCCUGCAUGAAGUAGGAAUCGCUAGUAAUCGCCGGUCAGCUAUACGGCGGUGAAUACGUUACCGGGCCUUGUACACACCGCCCGUCACACUCUGAAAGUUAUCCCUGUCCUAAAUCAAAAAAUGAUUAAGACAGAGUUAGUGAUUAGAGUGAAGUCGUAACAAGGUAGCUGUACUGGAAGGUGUAGCUGGAUCAACCUCCUUAAUAAAUUUAUGGAGAUUUAUAAAAAUUUUUCCUAGAUCAAAAAUUCAAAAAAACAAAUAUAAAUAUUAUAAUAACUUAUGGUGGAUACCUAGGCACUCAGAGAUGAUGAAGGGCGUUUUUAAACCGAAAAGUUGCGGGGAAAAAUAAAAUAUAGAUCCGUAGAUUCCCUAAUAAGUAAACUUUUUUAAAACCCCGAUGUUAAAAUAAAAGGGAGAUAACCUGGAAAACUGAAACAUCUUAGUAUCCAGAGGAAAAAAAAAUAAAAAUGAUUCCCUUAGUAGUGGCGAGCGAAAAGGGAAAAUARSCCUAUWWUUYUUACUAUAGAAAUUACAUAUAAUUUUAUACAUAUGUAUUUUGUACUGUGCUAGGUGAAACAAUAUUAUAGAAUACUGUAUCUUAGAUGGUGAAAAUCCAGUAACCAUUAGCAUAAAAAUUUUAUAAAAAAUAAUCUAAAUAAUUUAUUUAUUUAUUUAAUUUAUUUAUUUAAAAGUAACAUGGGACACGUGCAAUCCCGUGUGAGUUUAACAAGGACCACCUUGUAAGGCUAAAUACUACUGUGGACC
RNAcentral lists this ribosomal RNA (2030 nucleotides) under Mitrastemon kanehirai. RNAcentral describes it as "bacterial SSU rRNA". The stretch from base 1 to 1466 matches the Rfam family "Bacterial small subunit ribosomal RNA". The record is from RNAcentral. Lineage: Eukaryota; Viridiplantae; Streptophyta; Magnoliopsida; Ericales; Mitrastemonaceae.